RNAcentral lists this ribosomal RNA (372 nucleotides) under uncultured bacterium. RNAcentral's name for it is "bacterial SSU rRNA". It matches the Rfam family "Bacterial small subunit ribosomal RNA", at positions 523 to 897 of the family's 1533-position model. The record is from RNAcentral.
AUACGGAGGGUCCGAGCGUUAUCCGGAUUUAUUGGGUUUAAAGGGAGCGUAGGCGGAUGUUUAAGUCAGUGGUGAAAGUUUAAGGCUCAACCUUGAAAUUGCAGUUGAUACUGGGCGUCUUGAGUGCAUUAAAUGUGGGCGGAAUUCGUGGUGUAGCGGUGAAAUGCUUAGAUAUCACAAAGAAUUCCAAUUGCGAAGGCAGCUCACAAGGCUAUAACUGACGCUGAUGCACGAAAGUGUGGGGAUCAAACAGGAUUAGAUACCCUGGUAGUCCACACUGUAAACGAUGAAUACUCGCUGUUGGCGAUAUAAAGUAGGCGGUCAAGCGAAAGCGUUAAGUAUUCCACCUGGGGAGUACGCCCGCAAGGGUGA